AUAUCACUCGAAGGUGGAGUUCUGAAUCACACAAGGACAGCGCGUAUUUGCGCGUGUUCGAGAGUAGCUAAAGCUAGAUGUAAAACAAAACUCAAGUUGUAAACAAAAGGGACUCCGACUAAAUAAAGGGGGCGCAGCCCCUGGAGUCCGGAGGAGGCGCCACGGCAGGAGGGGGGCGCGCGCGACCAGGGGGAGGGCCGCGGCUCCCAACCCUAGGCACCCCACCUGGGCUGCCCUGUUGGGCCAUCUUCUUAUUCCGCUGGGCCUUUGUUCCUUAACAGCAUGAUGAAGUUUAAUUCUCUCGCACGGGCCCGAGUGAUUGG
RNAcentral lists this long non-coding RNA (323 nucleotides) under Setaria viridis. RNAcentral's name for it is "long non-coding RNA (SVIR_LNC006817)". The record is from RNAcentral. Lineage: Eukaryota; Viridiplantae; Streptophyta; Magnoliopsida; Poales; Poaceae.